This is a long non-coding RNA of Drosophila virilis, 833 nucleotides long. RefSeq lists it as uncharacterized. Lineage: Eukaryota; Metazoa; Arthropoda; Insecta; Diptera; Drosophilidae. The record is from RefSeq and is a predicted model, not a curated record.
ACUGCUAAUCUCUUCAGAUUUUGUUAUUUUAUUAGAAUUUCAUAUGAAAUAUCUGGUAAGCUAGAUUUUCAAAAUUUUUGACUUUUACCACUUUCAAAAUCAAGGGUUCAUUUGUCUCUCUUACUAGAAACGAGCGCAUAGCGCGAGCAGCCUGUUGUGUUGUAAUAAGAGUGUUUAGGGUAUCCCCUAGUUGGUAGCUCCCGUGUAGCACCUCCUGAGGUUAUAAUAUAAUUUUGCUAAAGCUACGAAAAGUUUUGUACUCAGUGUUGUUUUUAAAACAAAAUUUACAUUUUAUGAAUUGUGUUGAAAGUUUUUUCAUGACCAGUUCUGUUAAAGAACAUUAAAUAAAUCUUUGGUUUAAGGCCCAAGUUUGAUUUUCUAGCUUUCAUUUCGCUACAUUUAAAAUACGUUUUAAAAUAUCUUUGUAAAAUAUAACCUGAGAAGUGGAGGCUGAAAAAUAUGGGUGAACUUUAUAUUUCCUCGAAGGCUGAAGCUUACGAAGCUGAAAUUUUGACUGAAACUCUAACGUCUCAAAACACGAACAUAAGAAAUUGUAUUCCUUAAAUGCACAAUUUUAUGGAUGAGUGGUGCAAAUUUUAUCGGCUUGACCAAAACGCAAAAUCCAAUCCAAAACGAUAUAUCGUACAACUAAUCUGGAACUCAACAGGACCGGCAAUCCAGUAUGUCCAUGAUUGUGGGGCAUCGCAUAGAUUAAUUUUCUCCAAAACUGGGGAUCAUCACGUCGCAAAUACGUAUUUAAUUUCAUGUAGGUUUCCAGGUCGUUAAAAUCUUCGACUUCUGGAUAAAUAUAUAUUGUCUUUGGUAAUUGCAUC